GGGUUGUGAGGUUAAGCGACUAAGCGUACACGGUGGAUGCCCUGGCAGUCAGAGGCGAUGAAGGACGUGCUAAUCUGCGAAAAGCGUCGGUAAGGUGAUAUGAACCGUUACAGCCGGCGAUGUCCGAAUGGGGAAACCCAGUGCAAUUCGUUGCACUAUCGUUAACUGAAUACAUAGGUUAACGAGGCGAACCGGGGGAACUGAAACAUCUAAGUACCCCGAGGAAAAGAAAUCAACCGAGAUUCCCCCAGUAGCGGCGAGCGAACGGGG
This 270-nucleotide ribosomal RNA is filed under the name Klebsiella pneumoniae. Its description in RNAcentral is "partial 23S ribosomal RNA". It matches the Rfam family "Bacterial large subunit ribosomal RNA", at positions 1 to 262 of the family's 2925-position model. Lineage: Bacteria; Pseudomonadati; Pseudomonadota; Gammaproteobacteria; Enterobacterales; Enterobacteriaceae. The record is from RNAcentral.